CUACGGGGUGCAGCAGGCGCGAAAACUUUACAAUGCGGGAAACCGUGAUAAGGGAACUCCGAGUGUCCGUAAAUGCGGACUGUCCGUAUGUCUAAAAAGCAUGCGAAGAAAGGGCCGGGCAAGACCGGUGCCAGCCGCCGCGGUAAUACCGGCGGCUCGAGUGGUGGCCACUAUUACUGGGCUUAAAGCGUUCGUAGCUGGGUCGUUAAGUCUCUUGGGAAAUCUACCGGCUUAACCGAUAGGCGUCCAAGGGAUACUGGCGAUCUAGGGACCGGGAGAGGUGAGGGGUACUUCAGGGGUAGGAGUGAAAUCCUGUAAUCCUUGGGGGACCACCUGUGGCGAAGGCGCCUCACCAGAACGGCUCCGACAGUGAGGGACGAAAGCUGGGGGAGCAAACCGGAUUAGAUACCCGGGUAGUCCCAGCCGUAAACGAUGCGCGUUAGGUGUAUCGAUGACCACGAGUCAUCGAGGUGCCGAAGGGAAACCGUGAAACGCGCCGCCUGGGAAGUACGGUCGCAAGGCUGAAACUUAAAGGAAUUGGCGGGGGAGCACCACAACAGGUGGAGCCUGCGGUUUAAUCGGACUCAACGCCGGAAAUCUCACCGGAUAAGACAGCUGAAUGAUAGUCGGGCUGAAGACUCUACUUGACUANCUGAGAGGUAGUGCAUG
Molecule: ribosomal RNA, 669 nt
Filed under: uncultured archaeon
Lineage: Archaea
Description: bacterial SSU rRNA
Rfam family: Archaeal small subunit ribosomal RNA
Source: RNAcentral